UUGCAACGGCUAUCAAAAUGCACGGCACAUGUUAUUUUAGCAGACAGUAUUAAAAUUUAUAUUGCAUUUUAAAACAGAAUAAUGUUUGCCCUAUCGGUCUUGCCUCGGGAAGACCGAUCGAGCAAACAUUCUAUUUUUGAAUAUCCACCAAGGAAUCGAGUCAACGUAUAAGAAAUAUUAAUCUCUCUACAAAUCACGAACAUUUACUAACUCUUGUUUAAAGGCAAUGUCACUUUUAUUUACUCUUAAAUUAUCUUUUAGAGUCAUAUGUUGAAAUUUAACCCAUGGUGAACUAUUUUUAACUCAAUUUUCAACGAUUUUUGUUUCAUUACUAUAUUUGAUAACAUGUAAAGUUUGUCUGAAAUCACCUGUCACUAUUACUAUUUUUCCUCAAAAAAGUUCAUCAUUUUUGUAAAUAUCACAAAAAACCCACCAACUGCAUUAAAAGCGCAUUUUGAAGUCAUAGAUAUUACGUCCCAAAUAAGAACUUUUGUUUUCUUAAGGAUAACCCCAUAUUCAGAAUGUAGUGUAAUAUUAUAACAUGUUUCUUCAGUUAUAUCUACUGGAAAUUUAAAUGCUAAAUGCGAUAUUUUACAAUAGAUUAAUAAAUUUGCCGCUAUGCCCAUCCAUGCAACUGGUAUAACUGAAAUAUUUAAUCGCUUAAAAUAUAAAAUUAAAGAAUUUAACAGAAGACUUUGUCCACUUCAUCCCGGCCCAUCGAUGAAGAAACAUUUAUUAUGAUUAUCACUUUUAUUAAUAUUUUCAAUACUCUCUUAAUAUUCUUAAUAGUAAUACAAAUUUUAAGUUAUUUUUUAGAUAAAAGAGUGACAUCAUGAGAUACAUACUUAUCUAUUAACUGUUCCGUAACAGGCAAAUCUUCAUUUUUCUUAUUUUCUUCGAUGUCCGAAUAAUGGAUAACAUAAGGUUAAUUAAAAUCAUUUGAAGUAUGACCAUUAUUUGUUAAAAUUUUAUUUAUAAUUAUUAAUGCAGAAUUCUCGCCAAUUUCUUCUGUUAAUGAUGGACGAUAAAAAUGAUUUUUAUACUUAUCAAAUAAUUCCCUAACAUUAAGUGGAUUAUAAAAUAUACAAAUGUAAGCAAAAAGAUUACAUAAAGCAUUUGGAACUUGGAAUUGUGUACUUUCAUGUAAACGUCCAUUCCAUUUCUAAUCAGUUUUUAUUAAUCCUCUAGCAACUGCUGCUUCCAUGAAAGACAAAUAUGUAAUUUUAUCAACUGUAUUUAUAUUUUCAAAAGAUUUAGCUCCUUUUACAUGUAAUAGUUGUAAUCUUGAAUGAAAUCUUUCUCGAUUUUUUGGAUUAACGGAAUACAUCUUCGCAAAAACUGGUUUAUAAAAUGUAUUUCUUGCAGUCCAUUCUUUCCUAAUUUCAUUAAAUACAUAAUUGUAUGGAAUAUCUGUGUGUCUUGCAUUUGGAUCAAUCUGAUUCAGUAUAAAUCACGCAGUCAAUGUUGUAUUUAAAUUUUUGUUAAUCAACUGAUCUUCACAUCUUUCUUUAAAAAAUACAUAUUGUUCAUUAAUAUAUUGCAUCUCUCCCUUCACCGCUCUCUCUCUCUCUCUCUCUCUCUCUCUCUCCCCUCCACCGCGCUCUCCUUACCGCAUCUUUCCAUUGGCUUUCGGCGCUCUCGGCGUUCUCUACACACUAUACUUCUCUACUACACGCUAUACUCUGGACAAUGCUAUCCCGCGUCCCCACGCGCUCGGCUUUCUCUACCUAGCAUAAACUGAAAUAAUGCUAUCCCGCGUCUAAGCGUCAGUUGUACGUAAACAUAUCUCGUUCUUAUUAUUAAAAGUGAAUACUUAUAUUUAAUUACUACUCGUGUACUAAUAAGAUUACAUUGAUUUUCAUAAUGGAAAGUGACAAAAACAGUAAUUUAAAUUCAAUGAGUGACAGUGAAAGUGAAACGCAACAAAAAUUUGCUCAUCCAGCUACUGAUAAUACUGAAGAUGAAAACGAGAAUCUGCAAGACAGGUAUGUUUUUAAAUGGUUUCAUUUUUGAAGUGUUUUUUCACAUAUUAAAUCAGAAAUAUACUUCUUACGUCUCUAACCUUAAAAACGGUACAAUAACACAUGCAACAGUAACACGUGCGUCUCCCCGCUCUGCCUCCUACUCAUUGCCUUUUAUUCGUAUAUCUAUCUCUUUCUUCCAACAAUAUACAUAUAAAAUGACUAUUAUAAGCUCCUAUGCUUAUUUCUAUGCUCCGUAUAGUCUAUACAUAUUAUAAUUUUAUAAUUAUAAAUUUAAUUACGCACUUUCAGCAUAAAAAAAAGAAAAAAAACAUUCUUACAACUACCGCUUUCAACAAAAAAUUGAAAACUACACCGAAAUCUAAUGCUGAACGCAGUAAAGAAUAUCGACAACGGAAAAAGGAUGCUACAUCAAGUACUGCCGAAAAACAAAUGAAUGCUGAACGCUCUAAGCAAUAUCGACAACGGCAAAAAGAUACUAGUACCACUGAAAGAUCUAAACGCAAUGCUGAACGCUGCAGAGAGUAUCGACAACGUAAAAUACGUGAAAGUCAAUCCAGCACUACCACCGAAAAUUCACAACGAGAUUUACAAGUUGAAACUGUAGCAUUAAUUCAUAAUGUACACACUCCAAAGGCUGAUGAUAAUCUGCCUGCAUAUUCGACAAAAUUAUGAUAAACAACACUUGCAACCACAAUUCGACGAAAUUUGCCAAAUAAAUACGCAAUAUAAUGAAAAUACUCAAAGGGAAUUGAAUUUACUGACGGAAGCACAUCAAUCAACUGGAUUGACUCAACAUGCAGAUCCAAUUAUAAUACCUUUGAAUGAUGAAUUGCAAGGUCAGCAACCUCAACAAUUAAAUAUCGUCAACGACAUAUCUUUUUAUCAUCAUAUUAUCAACUCGGAACCUACCUAUUCUAAAUAUCAUCGAAAUAAAAAACCACACGAGGAAUUUAAUAAAAAAUUCAAAAAUAAUGCGUUUGGUUAUCCAUGCUCAGUUUGCAACAGAUUAUGGUUCAAAGAAGAUUAAAAAAAAGCACAGGGAAAUCGUGAAGAAAUUUUGAAAACAAUAAUUACGGUAAAAUAUUAAAUUGCACAAAAUAUAAUAUACAAAAUAUUUAACGAAUUGUUAUAUAAUUAGAUAUAAUUUUUUUUUUUAAUUAUGAUACCUUGGCUAACAUAAGCACAUGCUCUACUUGCAAAACAGAUAUUGACAAAGGCAACAUACCAAUAAUGUCUGAAUAUAAUGGCUUUAAAUAUCCAGAACUUCCAUCGCAUUUGCCAAAGCUAGAUAUUGUAUCAGAAAGACUAAUUUCGCCACGAAUCCCCUUUAUGCAAAUUAGAAGGCUAAGACAUGUGCACGGUCAAUAUGGUAUCUACGGACAAAUUAUUAUUAACGUACCAUUUUCUGUAAAUACAAUGGUACAUCGAUUGCCACGCGAUAUCGACGAUGAACAUUGCAUUUACGUACAUAUAAAGCGGAAAAAAUACACAAAUCUAGUUACGUGCAAGGUUUAGUUAAUAAAAAAAAACAAUAAAGGCGUGGCUAGAAUAUUUAGUUAAGACAGAACUUUACGUUUAUUACAAUAUUACAAUUGAUGAACCGUUCUUUAAUGAUCAAGAAACAGAACCUGCUGAUAUUGACGAACUCUCAGAAAAUAUUCCAAUUGAAGAAAGUCUUAUUGCUCAGCAACAGACAUUGCUUUGGAACGAGGAUAAAUACUUAAGGAUUGCGCCUGGUGAAACAAAUCUUCUGAUAAGCUUGCUUUUCGACGAACAUGCUGAAGAACUGUCGUUUCCAGCGAUAUACCUUGGUAAAUUCAGAGCAUACCGAGAAAAUGUUAGAGUUACACCAUUUACGCAAGCUACGAGUGAAUUGAGACGGGCUGAUCGCAGAGGAGUUACGCAUCAGCAUGUUUUAUAUAUGGCAAUGAGAAUUAUGAGAUUACGAGUACGGGAUAGCUUACAAAUUGCAUUUAAGCACGUUGGUAACAAUACUAAUAUUGCUCUUGAUCAAAUUCUAUUAGAUUCAUACAUCCAUAAUUGCAUAGAAACAAAUUUUGCAUUCCUCAAGUGUAUAACAAACUCAACUUGGUAUUGGGCAGAUCGCAAAAGAGAUCUGUUUGCUAUUAUUCGACAGAAAGGAAGACCUACGGCAUUUAUGACUUUAAGCUCGAACGAAAUAGGAUGGACAGAUUUGUUAAAAUUAUUAUACAAAUUAAAACACAACUGAACUUAUAACAACAAUUAUAUUGAAAAAAGUGCUCUUAUUAAUGAAGAUUCUGUUACUUGUGCUAUCUACUUUAAUAAAUUAGUCAAUGUUAUAAUGACAAUCUUAAUGGCUAAAAAGUCAAGUCCAUUUGGGAAAUAUAGAGUGGUCGAUUACUUCAAGAGAAUAGAGUUUCAACAUCGUGGCAGUCCCCACGCUCAUAUUCUUUUAUGGUUAGAAAAUGCAACAGAAGACGUCUUUGAUAAAAUUUAUCAAGAAGCUAUACAUUUAAUCGACGAAUUGAUUUCUGUAUCAGCAUCUGAACCAUCAGGUAACAUUAAACUCCAAACACACAAACACACUUUUACAUGUUACAAAAAAAUUGUCGCCAACAGAGCCCAAAAAUGUAGAUUUGAAGCACCGUUUAUGCCAUGUCGUGUAACUACUAUAUUAACGCCAAUGCAAAAAGAAAAUGAGAAUUUCAGAGAUUACAAAACUCAUUAUAACUUAAUUAGAACUAAGUUAGAAAAUAAUGAUUAUAAUGAUAUUGAUGAUUUUUACGAAUAAAACAAUGUUUUAUCAGAUGAACAUUACUGCAAUAUUCUUCGGGCUGGAAUUACGAGACCGAGGGUUUUCCCCAAGUGCUUACAAUCCGAAAAAUGGCAUAAUUCUUUUAAUCCAUUUGUGUUCAGCGUCUUGAAAUCGAAUAUGGAUUUUCAAAUCAUCACGGAAGAAUAUUCAUGUGCUGCUUAUGUUGUUGAAUAUGUAAAUAAAACAAAUAGAGGCAUAAGUAAUUUGCAACGAAAUAUAAUACAAGUCAUGGAUGAACACCCAGAAUUUGACAUUGUUGAAAUAACAAGAAAACUGAGCGUUGAUAUGCUUAAUUCAGUAGAAAUGUCAAGCCAAGAAGCUGCUUGGUAUAUGCUGCGUGAGCCAAUGUUCAAGUCUUCGGUCAACAUGGAUUUACGUCUAGCAACUCUCAACAAACUUGGCCCUAUAGCUAAAAAAAAGAAAAUUUAAUGAAUCUCAAACAAUUUUGUGAAUUGAUGAGAAUGGCUAACGAUAAACAAAAGGAAAUUUUAUUAUAUGUUAUCUCACAUCUUCUCUCUUCAAAUUCGUUCCCGCUUCAAAUAUUCUUUACUGGUUCAGCUGGUUAUGGUAAGACUUUUGUAAUAAAACUUAUUAUGGAAAUUUACAAUAGAUUUACCGACACUGAUAGAUACUGUAAUGCAUUUAUUACUUGUGCAUCAACCGGAAUAGCAGCUGUUGCAAUUGAUGGCACAACAGUGCAUACAGCUCUUAAAAUAUCACUGUCAAAGUUACUGCCACUAUCUAAUGAAAUGGCACAGCUUUACAGAGCAUUAUUUAAAUUCGUUAAGGUUAUAAUUAUUGAUGAAAUUAGCAUGAUAGGUGCAGAGCUGUUAUCACAAAUUGAUUCUAGAUUAAAGCAGAUUACUGGAAAUUUUGAAAAUAAUUUCGGUGGUUUAGAUAUGAUUUUAAUUGGAGAUUUGCGACAAUUACCACCUGUUCUGGCAACUCCAAUCUAUAAGUCACAGACAACGGAUGGUUGGCCCAAUUUUGUGGCGAGGAUUAAAAUUUUAUGAACUGACACAAGUCAUGCGACAAGCAAAUGCAAUGUUUUCUUUAUUGCUAACUAAGGUCGGAAAUGGCAUUCAGCUAGACGAUCUUGAACUCGCUCUUGUAGAAGCAAGAUUUUACACAAAAAAUGAUAGUAAUCAAUUAUGCCCAGACAGGAUACGCUUAUUCCUUACCAAUCACUCGGUUAAUGAGUACAAUAACUCGAUUUUACAGAGCGCAGAAAACAAAACUAUUUCUAUUGCAAGAGAUAUUAUUACGGGUGUCAAAGUAAGGAACAAUAAACUUUCGUAACACAAAAGCUGCACAAAAUGUCUGUCAUUGAUACUGGCAGUUUACCGUAUGAAAUUAUAUUCGUGUUAAAUAAAUCUUAUAUAAUUACAACUAAUAUCGAUGUAUCAGAUGGUUUAGCAAACGGUGCAGUUGGAGAAUUGGUACACCUUGAAUUUGAUGACAAUGAUGAGGUCAAGGGAGUUUGGCUACAAUUUCUAGACCGAAGAACAAGUAGCAUUCCUCUCAAUAACAAUAAAACUAUCCUAGCCAAAAGAAAUCAUUUUCCAUUAAUUCCAGCGUUAGCUAUGACAAUCCAUAAAUCACAAGGAGGUACUUUUAAUCAAGUUGUUUACGAAUACGAAAGGAAACAUUCUCAACAGUUAGUAUAUGUUGCUCUAUCCCGUGUUACGAGCAUAGAAGAACUUUACAUUACUACGUUCAAAGAUGAUGCAAGCAAAUUCAUAUUUUAUCAUGGUCGACAAAAUGAUGUACAUAGUGUCUCUUUACAAGAUGAAUUCCGUAGAUUAUCUCUCAACAAAUUACAAACAACAGCAGAAAUGAUUACAGAUUUCAUUAUAACUAAAAAAGGAUUAUCAUUUGUUACUUUUAUUUGCCAAGUCUUCAAUCUCAUGCGCUAAAUCUUACUGAUUCCGUCAUUAGAAAUAGUAAUAUAUUACAUUUAACCGAAACUUGGAUGAGCGAUCAAGAAGACAUCAUCGAUGUACCUGUAUUCAAUUGUAUAGCACGUUUCCAUCGGGCAAAUAAAAGAGCAGGAGGAGUAGCUAUUUUUCAAAAUAAACGUGACACUGCCAAUAUCGUCACUAAACAUAUAUCAUUGCAAAUUAGAAGACCUAUAAAUUUAGAUGUUCAGACGUCAGAAAUAGCUGAAAUAUGUUCUGCUCACUGCGUUUUAGAAGACGGUCAAAUAUGUAUCAUGGCUGCGAUUUAAAUUUCACCCAAUCAAAGCAUUACAGACAUAAUUCAAUUUAUCCAUAGAUCACUACUUGUAUACACUCAAGUAGGAUCACGGGAGCUUGAUACAAAUGACCAUCAAAUGCCACUGAUUUUAGCAGGAGAUUUUAAUGUUAACUUUGCUGACAAAAGUGCACAACCAUUAAUUACAUUCCUCAAAGAUAAAUUUCAAUUAGACAUGAAUAAUGAUGCGCAACAAUCAACUACUAAGUAUGGCACAACAUUAGAUGCAGUACUUUCAAGAUUUUUAUAUAAAAUCGAUUCUAAAACAUUUAUAUCAUACUUUAGUUACCACAAACCAAUUGUUUCUUUUAUUGAAUUAAAAAAUGAAGAUA
This 7367-nucleotide long non-coding RNA is filed under the name Nasonia vitripennis (jewel wasp). Its description in RNAcentral is "uncharacterized LOC116416740". Lineage: Eukaryota; Metazoa; Arthropoda; Insecta; Hymenoptera; Pteromalidae. The record is from RNAcentral.